AUACGUAGGUGACAAGCGUUAUCCGGAUUUACUGGGCGUAAAGGGCGUGUAGGCGGUCUUGCAAGUCAGAAGUGAAAUUCCUGAGCUCAACUCGGGCGCUGCUUCUGAAACUGCAGGACUUGAGUGCUGGAGGGGAUAGCGGAAUUCCUAGUGGAGCGGUAAAAUGCGCAGAUAUUAGGAAGAACACCGGUGGCGAAGGCGGCCUGCUGGACGACAACUGACGCUGAGGCGCGAAAGCGUGGGGAGCAAACAGGAUUAGAUACCCUGGUAGUCCACGCUGUAAACGAUGAGUACUAGGUGUGGGGGGACUGACCCCCUCCGUGCCGCAGUUAACACAAUAAGUAUUCCACCUGGGGAGUACGAUCGCAAGAUUGAAACUCAAAUGAAUUGACGGGG
Molecule: ribosomal RNA, 396 nt
Filed under: uncultured bacterium
Lineage: Bacteria
Description: partial 16S ribosomal RNA
Rfam family: Bacterial small subunit ribosomal RNA
Source: RNAcentral